RNAcentral lists this ribosomal RNA (254 nucleotides) under Pseudomonas protegens. RNAcentral's name for it is "partial 23S ribosomal RNA". It matches the Rfam family "Bacterial large subunit ribosomal RNA", at positions 2694 to 2925 of the family's 2925-position model. Lineage: Bacteria; Pseudomonadati; Pseudomonadota; Gammaproteobacteria; Pseudomonadales; Pseudomonadaceae. The record is from RNAcentral.
GGAGUGGACGAACCUCUGGUGUUCCGGUUGUCACGCCAGUGGCAUUGCCGGGUAGCUAUGUUCGGAAAAGAUAACCGCUGAAAGCAUCUAAGCGGGAAACUUGCCUCAAGAUGAGAUCUCACUGGAACCUUGAGUUCCCUAAAGGGCCGUCGAAGACUACGACGUUGAUAGGUUGGGUGUGUAAGCGCUGUGAGGCGUUGAGCUAACCAAUACUAAUUGCCCGUGAGGCUUGACCAUAUAACACCCAAGCAAUU